Molecule: ribosomal RNA, 253 nt
Filed under: uncultured bacterium
Lineage: Bacteria
Description: partial 16S ribosomal RNA
Rfam family: Bacterial small subunit ribosomal RNA
Source: RNAcentral
UACGUAGGUGGCAAGCGUUGUCCGGAUUUACUGGGCGUAAAGAGCGCGCAGGCGGUCGGAUAAGUCGAAUGUGAAAGCCCCCGGCUCAACUGGGGAGGGUCAUUCGAUACUGUUCGACUCGAAGGCAGGAGAGGGAAGUGGAAUUCCUGGUGUAGCGGUGAAAUGCGCAGAUAUCAGGAAGAACACCAAUGGCGAAAGCAGCUCUCUGGGACGGUACUGACGCUGAGACGCGAAAGCGUGGGGAGCGAACAGG